CUACGGGAGGCAGCAGUGGGGAAUAUUGCACAAUGGUGGAAACUCUGAUGCAGCAACGCCGCGUGGAGGAUGACACUUUUCGGAGCGUAAACUCCUUUUAUAUAGGAAGAUAAUGACGGUACUAUAUGAAUAAGCACCGGCUAACUCCGUGCCAGCAGCCGCGGUAAUACGGAGGGUGCAAGCGUUACUCGGAAUCACUGGGCGUAAAGAGCGUGUAGGCGGAUUAAUAAGUCAGAUGUGAAAGCCAAUGGCUCAACCAUUGAACUGCAUUUGAAACUGUUAAUCUAGAAUAUGGGAGAGGUAGAUGGAAUUUCUGGUGUAGGGGUAAAAUCCGUAGAGAUCAGAAGGAAUACCGAUUGCGAAGGCGAUCUACUGGAACAUUAUUGACGCUGAGACGCGAAAGCGUGGGGAGCAAACAGGAUUAGAUACCCCAGUAGUC
RNAcentral lists this ribosomal RNA (439 nucleotides) under uncultured bacterium. Its description in RNAcentral is "partial 16S ribosomal RNA". It matches the Rfam family "Bacterial small subunit ribosomal RNA", at positions 339 to 795 of the family's 1533-position model. The record is from RNAcentral.